GGCUUUAUAGUUAUGGAAUACUUUGAGUCAAACUUCUCCCCGGAAGCAAACAAACAAUCGUUGAUCAAAGCUGCAUCAUCAUUGCUGCAGUUUUAAGUAAAUAAGUUCUCAAUUAAUAUUGUGGAUAUUUCGUUACUCUAAAAUGCUAAGGAAUUUAAGAUAGAACAUACCUUUUAUUUGCUUCUAUAAUGUUGUUCACAUUUAGGUUUGAAAGGG
Molecule: long non-coding RNA, 216 nt
Filed under: Citrus sinensis (sweet orange)
Lineage: Eukaryota; Viridiplantae; Streptophyta; Magnoliopsida; Sapindales; Rutaceae
Description: long non-coding RNA (CSIN_LNC002690)
Source: RNAcentral